This 87-nucleotide transfer RNA is filed under the name Streptomyces albogriseolus. RNAcentral's name for it is "tRNA-Ala". It matches the Rfam family "tRNA". From Rfam's summary of the family: Transfer RNA (tRNA) molecules are approximately 80 nucleotides in length. Their secondary structure includes four short double-helical elements and three loops (D, anti-codon, and T loops). Further hydrogen bonds mediate the characteristic L-shaped molecular structure. tRNAs have two regions of fundamental functional importance: the anti-codon, which is responsible for specific mRNA codon recognition, and the 3' end, to which the tRNAs corresponding amino acid is attached (by aminoacyl-tRNA synthetases). tRNAs cope with the degeneracy of the genetic code in two manners: having more than one tRNA (with a specific anti-codon) for a particular amino acid; and 'wobble' base-pairing, i.e. permitting non-standard base-pairing at the 3rd anti-codon position. The record is from RNAcentral. RNAcentral also lists the same sequence under 16 other names. Lineage: Bacteria; Bacillati; Actinomycetota; Actinomycetes; Kitasatosporales; Streptomycetaceae.
GGAGGAUUGGCCGAGUGGUAAGGCACCGGCUUGGCUCAAGCCGUGGUCGGGUGAGAGCCCGCGCACGUUCGAUCCGUGCAUCCUCCG